Molecule: ribosomal RNA, 1640 nt
Filed under: Salmonella enterica
Lineage: Bacteria; Pseudomonadati; Pseudomonadota; Gammaproteobacteria; Enterobacterales; Enterobacteriaceae
Also listed under: 1 other name
Description: partial 23S ribosomal RNA
Rfam family: Bacterial large subunit ribosomal RNA
Source: RNAcentral
CUAAACCAUGCACCGAAGCUGCGGCAGCGACGCUUAUGCGUUGUUGGGUAGGGGAGCGUUCUGUAAGCCUGCGAAGGUGGCCUGUGAGGGUUGCUGGAGGUAUCAGAAGUGCGAAUGCUGACAUAAGUAACGAUAAAGCGGGUGAAAAGCCCGCUCGCCGGAAGACCAAGGGUUCCUGUCCAACGUUAAUCGGGGCAGGGUGAGUCGACCCCUAAGGCGAGGCCGAAAGGCGUAGUCGAUGGGAAACGGGUUAAUAUUCCCGUACUUGGUGUUACUGCGAAGGGGGGACGGAGAAGGCUAUGUUGGCCGGGCGACGGUUGUCCCGGUUUAAGCGUGUAGGUGUGUGUUCCAGGUAAAUCCGGUUCACUUUAACACUGAGGCGUGACGACGAGGCACUACGGUGCUGAAGCAACAAAUGCCCUGCUUCCAGGAAAAGCCUCUAAGCAUCAGGUAACAUCAAAUCGUACCCCAAACCGACACAGGUGGUCAGGUAGAGAAUACCAAGGCGCUUGAGAGAACUCGGGUGAAGGAACUAGGCAAAAUGGUGCCGUAACUUCGGGAGAAGGCACGCUGACACGUAGGUGAAGUGAUUUACUCAUGGAGCUGAAGUCAGUCGAAGAUACCAGCUGGCUGCAACUGUUUAUUAAAAACACAGCACUGUGCAAACACGAAAGUGGACGUAUACGGUGUGACGCCUGCCCGGUGCCGGAAGGUUAAUUGAUGGGGUCAGCGCAAGCGAAGCUCCUGAUCGAAGCCCCGGUAAACGGCGGCCGUAACUAUAACGGUCCUAAGGUAGCGAAAUUCCUUGUCGGGUAAGUUCCGACCUGCACGAAUGGCGUAAUGAUGGCCAGGCUGUCUCCACCCGAGACUCAGUGAAAUUGAACUCGCUGUGAAGAUGCAGUGUACCCGCGGCAAGACGGAAAGACCCCGUGAACCUUUACUAUAGCUUGACACUGAACAUUGAGCCUUGAUGUGUAGGAUAGGUGGGAGGCUUUGAAGUGUGGACGCCAGUCUGCAUGGAGCCGACCUUGAAAUACCACCCUUUAAUGUUUGAUGUUCUAACGUGGACCCGUUACCCGGGUUGCGGACAGUGUCUGGUGGGUAGUUUGACUGGGGCGGUCUCCUCCUAAAGAGUAACGGAGGAGCACGAAGGUUGGCUAAUCCUGGUCGGACAUCAGGAGGUUAGUGCAAUGGCAUAAGCCAGCUUGACUGCGAGCGUGACGGCGCGAGCAGGUGCGAAAGCAGGUCAUAGUGAUCCGGUGGUUCUGAAUGGAAGGGCCAUCGCUCAACGGAUAAAAGGUACUCCGGGGAUAACAGGCUGAUACCGCCCAAGAGUUCAUAUCGACGGCGGUGUUUGGCACCUCGAUGUCGGCUCAUCACAUCCUGGGGCUGAAGUAGGUCCCAAGGGUAUGGCUGUUCGCCAUUUAAAGUGGUACGCGAGCUGGGUUUAGAACGUCGUGAGACAGUUCGGUCCCUAUCUGCCGUGGGCGCUGGAGAACUGAGGGGGGCUGCUCCUAGUACGAGAGGACCGGAGUGGACGCAUCACUGGUGUUCGGGUUGUCAUGCCAAUGGCACUGCCCGGUAGCUAAAUGCGGAAGAGAUAAGUGCUGAAAGCAUCUAAGCACGAAACUUGCCCCGAG